Molecule: ribosomal RNA, 468 nt
Filed under: uncultured bacterium
Lineage: Bacteria
Description: partial 16S ribosomal RNA
Rfam family: Bacterial small subunit ribosomal RNA
Source: RNAcentral
GACGAACGCUGGCGGCGUGCUUAACACAUGCAAGUCGAACGGAAAGGCCCUGCUUUUGUGGGGUGCUCGAGUGGCGAACGGGUGAGUAACACGUGAGUAACCUGCCCUUGACUUUGGGAUAACUUCAGGAAACUGGGGCUAAUACCGGAUAGGAGCUCCUGCUACAUGGUGGGGGUUGGAAAGUUUCGGCGGUUGGGGAUGGACUCGCGGCUUAUCAGCUUGUUGGUGGGGUAGUGGCUUACCAAGGCUUUGACGGGUAGCCGGCCUGAGAGGGUGACCGGGCACAUUGGGACUGAGAUACGGCCCAGACUCCUACGGGAGGCAGCAGGGGGGAAUAUUGCACAAUGGGCGGAAGCCUGAUGCAGCAACGCCGCGUGCGGGAUGACGGCCUUCGGGUUGUAAACCGCUUUCGCCUGUGACGAAGCGUGAGUGACGGUAAUGGGUAAAGAAGCACCGGCUAACUACGUG